UGAUCUUAGAUAGUGCAGUCACCAGCUCCAAAUGGAGACCUCUGUACUUAUAACUAUCCUCCUUUGCACCCUGGAGCUGACUCGACUAAGGUUACCUUCCCAUGGAGGGUAUCCCUAUCGGAAGUCAUUUCCCAUAUGUACCGUCUGAGCUCAAAGAUUUCAGCAUAUCUGGCCUGAAGCUCCUUUUUCAGCAGGGCAUUUUCUUUCUCACACUGCACAAAUCAGGUCCGAGACAUUAAAAGCAAUUUAAUCGCACAAAGAUUCAAAUAAUAGUAAGCGGAUGAUGAGUAGACCGCUCAGUAAGGUAGGAUUUCUCACGCUUGUGAUAGUUCACCUCAUCCUUGUACUAGGGGAAAUCCUGGCUGUGAAGCAAUUUAGCAUGAAGCCACAAAAAAUGACAAGCUAGAAAAACAAAGAUCGGAGUAGCCCAAAGCAGCAAAAGGGGAUAGUAAAAAAUACACGCUCACAACGUCUGCCCAUAUCUCCAAAAAUGGACAAAGCAUCAACCUCGAGACUUCCCUCGAGAAAGAUCGGCAGCCUCUCAAAUACAUCCGCUUUCGACUAGUGACCUACAUCAAAAGGCUAUUCAUGCGGGGUAUCUUGCACUCCAUAAAGUGAUAGGAUCACUCCCUGGGGGGGAUCAAUAACGAUCACAGUGUUGACAGGAUCAGUCAAAGCCUUCGUCCCUUGUUCGCCCUAGGCCCUAGAAUCGGGCCCCUCCGGGCUGCCCACCAAGGGUGCCUCAACUUGGGGAGAAUUCUGGCCACUAUCCAACUCGAGGGUAGUAAUCGGUACCCCAUAUGUUGCCUCCCCGCUAUAGAGAUGGGCCAUAGCGACAUCACGCUCGGGUUUGAAAGCCCGACGGUCCAAGGACCGGCCGAGUCCAUACACCCUUUGGGGGCUGUUGGGAAGUUAUUUUACCCCCUCACCUUCAAAUCAAGGGUUUCCCGCUGUCUUCAAGGUCAGACCUAAUGGAUCAACCUUCGAUCCUUCCACCUUAACCCUCUUGAAAUCUGGCGGCCUAACCACCAGGCCCCCUGCCUUCACUUCUUCUCGGCAUGCACUAGGGCGUCCCGAUUAACGGGUAAUGCCUCCUUCGCCAAAGGGACUUCCCCAACACUGCAUAAGUUAAACACAAAGAAUGAUGAAUUCUAUUAAUAGUGAUUUUCAUCAAAGUAUGCUAAUGUAACAAGUCUCAAAUCUUAUCGUGAUCUUUGGCUUCCUACCGGGCUCAGGAUAAUCAUGCCACACUCAUUCGACAUAUGGGCUUAUAGAGUAUAGGCGUCCGGCCCAAUCCUGGAGGUCUGAAACCACACCAAGUAGGUUUCUAUGGCUAAAAACGCAUGAGAAAUGAAGCUAUAUGCUUUGAGAAAUAUAGUCAAAAAAGAAGCGAAAGAAGACCCGACAACGCAUUUUACGCCUAGCGUUCCACUUCUCGGCGAAUGGCAUUUUUUCCUCCACAAUUAGGUCAGAGGUCCUUACUUGAAUAAAUCGGCUCAUCCAAACUUCGUUCCCGAGCUCCUCGGUGCAUACAAAAAGAGACCACGGGGCUCUACAACGGAGUUUGAUUAGGCCCCGCGAAGAAGAUGGGGACUAUACAUCCGGAUCAGGUGAUUGAAGGCGAAGGGCAUCUCCUCAAUCAUGUUUGAGUAAUGCCUGAUCAUAUACAUAAUGCAUCAGAAUGAAGGAUGAAUUCGACCCAUGGUUACCUGAUAACGUCGAUAGAAGUCGAGAAUCACGGGGUCGAUCGGGGGCGAGGAUGGCCCGAUGAGGGUGAACGGAUAGGUAGACACACUGAGAAAGAUGGCUUUGUGAUCCGUGAUAUAUU
This 1828-nucleotide long non-coding RNA is filed under the name Nicotiana benthamiana. Its description in RNAcentral is "long non-coding RNA (NBEN_LNC011199)". The record is from RNAcentral. Lineage: Eukaryota; Viridiplantae; Streptophyta; Magnoliopsida; Solanales; Solanaceae.